GCCAAGACUGCUGCUGCUAUGUCCUGCCCACCAUCUACCGCACACAGUGGGGUGUCACUCCAAGACCACGCUUCAGACAGGUGCCUUUUAAGCCACACCUCACAGUGGCCCACUGGUGACGUUCCCCUACUGUGCCUAGGACCAUGUCCAUUCUUUGCAUGUCCUGCUCCCAACCCAGCUAUCAGAGGCAACCACUCAGUGUGCACACCCUGCUCCAUACUGACUGAAGUCACCAGAUCAUGCACCCAGCAUGCAUCCCUCCUGAAGCUGGCCAGUCACCCUCGCCGUGGCUCACACUCUAUCACCAGUUGCCUCCAUCUAUGAGACCAUUCCCAUGAGGCCUUGCCCCUCCUCUGUUGGGCACAUCCCGUCUACGUCCAGCCUCGGCUAACCUGGGACCUCCACAUCCACAUGGAUUUGCAGGCUCCGCACUCAACCUCAAAGCUCUCCUCUCCUACAAAGCUCUUAGUGGGUCACCAGACAAGAACCACCUCCUCAUCUUCAUGGGGACCAUGCAGCAGGAGCACCACCUACUUUCAAGGCCACUCCCCCAUCUCCACAGGCCUCUUACCUCUCAGAAGCAUUUCCCUCCCUUCAGCCAGGCUACCCGCUGGUUCUGAAGCCCACCUUAGUUCCCCCACCACCAAGAGCCACCCUCCCACAAAAAGCCCUCAAGUACAGCCCUCCCCCAUAAAGGCCCACCACCUCUCCGACUCUCCUCAUUGCCUGUUUCACAGACCACUGGCUCCCAUCCCAACCAACUUUGGGCCUCUGGCUGUAAGUCUUCCUCUUCCUCUCACCUCCCCCCUCUCAAAGAGCCUUGGAUUCCUCUUGCUCCUUCCCCCAAAAUAACCAGUUGCUAGGGGACUCCCCCUUUUCAAGGACAGAGGCUAGCUCCUUAAGAAAGCUAGAGCCCAUGUGUCUCUAAUUGGCUGUAAGACCCAAGCAAGCAGCAGAGCUGGAUUCUGGUUGGCUGUCACCUCUGCCCAUGGCAGCAGUGAGGAAGUUAACCCCCUCAGUGCUGUAGCACAGGUGUCUGCAGUGUGCGAUGGAGGAUUGGAACUGCGGUCCCACGGGGAAGGGAAGAGUCCCAGGGUCUGUUGCCCAGCUGGGCUAGAGGACCAUCAGUAUCUGCAUACAUGCCGGGACUGGGGCCUGGGAACUUCCCACCACCCUGCCAGCUAGUGACCAUGGACAGGAAAGAGAAAGAAAAAGAGAAAGAGAGAGGUGGAGAAUCACAGAAGCCAAGAGCUAUUUACAGAAAUGUAUUAUCCAUCUCCCCUAAUCCCUGCCUGACAAACAGUAGGUGCUCGAUAAAUGAGUGUUCAAUGUAAAAGGGCAGAAUUAGGAGUUAGAAGGGUAAGGGCUGGAAUCCUGACUCUGCCUCUUUCGGUGUGACCUUGAGCAAGUGACUUCCCCCCACUGAGCCUCAGUUUCCCUGUCUAUAAAAUGGGAGGGGGAUCAUUGCUGCUUCACAGCAGAGUUGGGAAUAUGGAAUGGAGAGUAGCAUCCUUGGCAGUACCUUAGAAAGGUUUCUGUUUUUGAUCAUUUGUUUGCCCUGAUGUUUGUAAGACUGGGCCAGUGUCUGAUGCAUCUUGGUAGGCCUAGGGCCCAGACUGGCAGCUGGCAAGCAGUGGGCAUUUAUUCAGUGUUCGGUGACCAGAUUCAAAGAGAAGAAAACAAGGAUAUCAGAGACAAGAGAAAAGAGGCGUUUCACUCAUUCAGUCAACAAUAGGAGCGCACCUACUGUGUGCCAGGACUGUGACCCAGCAGACGCUGGGUGAGGUGAAGAUGGAGGCCAGGAGGCAGGCUUCUCAGUGUGGGUUUGAGCACCUCCAAGAGCUGGGGCUCUGGCGCCCCCACGUGAAGCCAAACACAGGAUUAAGCAUUCAGCGGGCGCUCUACAAAGUGUGCAGGGGAGGCAGAGCCAGGCAGAGGGCAAUGGCCACAGAGCCCACAACCACUUUCCAAGCGCCCACUGUGGGACAGGUCUGUGGCUGUGAGCCACAUUCAGAAAGAGACAGAGUUCUCCUGUGGUUCAGUGGGUUAAGGAUCUGACUUGUCACUGCAGCAGCUUGGGUGGCUGCUGUGGUGCGGAUUCGGUCUUUGGCCUGGAAACUUCCAUAUGCCACAGGUAUGGCAAGGAAAAAAAAAAAACUACCAACAUGGAGUGAUAAUGCAAGGCCAAGGCAGUAAUUCAUCUUAUUCAUCAUGUACUGUCUGUCUCCUCCCUCUGGGCUGUGAGCUCCCUGUGUUCCCAGCGCCUAGCAGGGCCUAGCACAGAGCAGGGGCUUAGAGCUUCAUGAGGGCAGGAGGGAAAAGAGGUACAGACCAACAGAGACAGAGGUGAGAGCAAGAUACGAACAGAGAUAGUGGGAGAAAGUUAACUCUUUAAUGUCUGUCUAUACCAUGGCAGGUGUAUCCACACCAGGGCUUCGAACCCAAUGGAUGGUGGAAAUGACUUAUAUCGAUGUAUUUUUCUCAUAGUUUUCUGUUUCCAUAAGGUACCCAAUGUGUUGAUACAGUAGCACUGGUAUAUAAUUUCUAAAUAUAACUGUAACUGUAAAUAUAUAUGUAUGUGAGUAUAUUUCCUGCUCUGAGGUGUUUAACUGACAAGGAAUGCAAACAGCUUUGGUGAGCGCUGAUGCAGACCAUGAGCCCCAGGAGGGCAAGGAUCAGACUGAGUGCAUUCACUCUUCUAACUCCAGUGCCCAGCGCUGGUCUGGCUCUGGCGGCCGCUCAAGGAAGAUUUGUAAGAUGCAUGAAAAACAAAGACAGUGAGAGAGAAAGAGAGAAGAAAAACAGGGCAAGUGAGAGCUUCCGCUGAGUGAGAAGGCCCAGGGCAUGGGCGCAGGGGAGGGAGGGCCCCUGGGGUGGGAGGAGGCCCUGGGACUGCAG
Sus scrofa (pig) is the source of this 2898-nucleotide non-coding RNA. NCBI's taxonomy places the organism in Eukaryota, Metazoa, Chordata, Mammalia, Artiodactyla, Suidae. The record is from RefSeq and is a predicted model, not a curated record.